UAAGGAGGGUGCAAGCAUUGAUCGGAAUUACUGGGCGUAAAGGGCGCGUAGGCGGCUCGAUAAGUCAGAUGUGAAAUUCCACGGCUCAACCGUGGAGCUGCAUUUGAAACUGUCGGACUGGAGUAUAGUUAGGGAAAACGGAAUUCCACGUGUAGCGGUGAAAUGCGUAGAUAUGUGGAAUAACACCGGUGGUGAAGACGGUUUUCUGGGCUAUAGCUGACGCUGAGGCGCGAAAGCUAGUGGAGCAAACAGU
This 253-nucleotide ribosomal RNA is filed under the name uncultured bacterium. Its description in RNAcentral is "partial 16S ribosomal RNA". It matches the Rfam family "Bacterial small subunit ribosomal RNA", at positions 524 to 776 of the family's 1533-position model. The record is from RNAcentral.